AACGAACGCUGGCGGCAUGCCUAACACAUGCAAGUCGAACGAAGCCUUCGGGCUUAGUGGCGCACGGAUGCGUAACGCGUGGGAAUCUGCCCCUCGGUUCGGAAUAACAGUUAGAAAUGACUGCUAAUACCGGAUGAUGACGAAAGUCCAAAGAUUUAUCGCCGAGGGAUGAGCCCGCGUAGGAUUAGCUUGUUGGUGGGGUAAUGGCCCACAAGGCGACGAUCCUUAGCUGGUCUGAGAGGAUGAUCAGCCACACUGGGACUGAGACACGGCCCAGACUCCUACGGGAGGCAGCAGUGGGGAAUAUUGGACAAUGGGCGAAAGCCUGAUCCAGCAAUGCCGCGUGAGUGAUGAAGGCCUUAGGGUUGUAAAGCUCUUUACCAGGGAUGAUAAUGACAGUACCUGGAGAAUAAGCUCCGGCUAACUCCGUGCCAGCAGCCGCGGUAAU
Molecule: ribosomal RNA, 448 nt
Filed under: uncultured bacterium
Lineage: Bacteria
Description: bacterial SSU rRNA
Rfam family: Bacterial small subunit ribosomal RNA
Source: RNAcentral